RNAcentral lists this unclassified non-coding RNA (418 nucleotides) under uncultured Glomeromycotina. RNAcentral describes it as "sequence contains ITS2". Lineage: Eukaryota; Fungi; Glomeromycota. The record is from RNAcentral.
AGAGUAAAAUAGUACGUGAAAUUGUUGAAAGGGAAACGAUUGAAGUCAGUCGUACCGACGAGAAAUCAGCUCUUCGAGUGCGAACUUGUGGGCGUUCGUGAGUCUUUAACGGGCCUCGCUGUUUGCAAUGUUUGUGCUUCUUGGGUGUAUUUUUUCGUAUGGUAGGCCAACGUCAGUUUCGAUUACCAUAAAAUGAUCGGAGGAAUGUAGCUUCGAUCUCGUAUUGAAGUGUUAUAGCCUCUGGUAGAUGUGGUGACCAAAACUGAGGAUUGCAACGAAUACCCUUUGGGCUAUCCGUCUGACCUCUGAAAGUUGCUUAGGUGCCGAAAGCUUGCUUACGGUCAUUUAAGUUGACGGUCAAAAGGUUAGAACGUGAUUACAUUCGUUAAGGACGUUGGCGUAAUGGCUUUAAACGACC